Molecule: long non-coding RNA, 2092 nt
Organism: Brienomyrus brachyistius
Lineage: Eukaryota; Metazoa; Chordata; Actinopteri; Osteoglossiformes; Mormyridae
Exons: 3
Source: RefSeq, a predicted model, not a curated record
UUGGGAUUGUAGAGAUUCUCGUCUGAGCUCUUGUGAGCCCCGUACACGCGAGGCAUGCCAUCAGACUGGCAUUUGACAAAAGCCAGCCUGACAAGAGUGCAGAGAGCUUGUCCCCUCCAAAGAAAGGAGCUCGUGCUGCUCUCCCUGCAGUCACCAGAGUGUGCAGGCUGUGGUGACUGCAGAGAUGUUGUGCAGACUGCAGAUAAUCUACAGUAUGUUUUCAAGCACCAGGAAGGAUUUUAUCACAUCUGACAACAUUAGGAUCCAUUUCAGGGAAGCAAAAAUGUGUUGAGUGAAGCUGCAGCUGUAAAAACAGCUGACAUGACUGAAGCAGUAACCGCACUGGAAGGCGGAGACGGCGGAAAGGCAGGCCUGCUGCAUGCUAAAGCCACCAUUCCUCUCUGCCGGCCUGCAAAUGACCAAAUUACUUCAUAAACCUAAAAGAAGUAAGCCUACAAAGAGAAGGAGCGCUGUUAGACUCUUCCUUUAACCUUAUCUUUCUACCAACCUUAUUUAUCCUUUUCAUUAAUGUUAAAACACUAAUUCCUUUAUUUGCCCGGUCUCACCUCUACUGGAUAAUUUAGCAUUUGUCAUGAAACUGCUACGUCAGUGUUACUUGGUGUUUGUCUUGCAAUGACUGUUGUAAAAUUUGGUUUCAAACUCUUAUUAGCUGAGUCUAUGCCCUUUUCUCCCUCAGUGCGCCACGAAACCUUACAGCAGAGCUCAGUUAUAGUUGCUGUUUUCAUUCCUGGCAUACCACCCCAAACCAGCUAUGAGACCACAGACACUUUCUGAGUCUGCUAGACAGACCAGAAAUAUUUUCAGGAGUUUGGGAUGAUUUUCACUUCUUUUUUAAAAAAAAUCUCCAUAAAUCUCUUGAUUCUCCCUCUCUCUCUCUGUCUGUCUCUCUUUCUCUCCCUGAGUUUGUUAAAUUGUUUGCCCUUGUCAUUCUUAUAAGGUCUGGCAUGCGUUGUAAUAAUUCUGCGAUGGCCUGUGAAUGUUUUAAAGAAAGCAAAUUAUUCUGAUCCAUUCUCAGCCUGGAGAAAGUCUGAAGAACGAUUGCUAGGUUGGCUUCCAAACUACGUGACUUUCGCCAGUUUUCGGGUUCCAAAAAACAGAAUACCACUCUGUGGUCAUUUUCACAGCUAGCUAUUUUCAUGAAAGGUUAAUGGCAAUACGGAACAUGCUCUGCCCUGCAAUUAAAACAAUUUUGGUCACUGGGGAUGAGAUUUGAAUACAAUAGCAUUCGGCUAGCUCCAAAAAAUGUUUUUAUCCAUUUUCCAGAACCGUUUAUCUAAUACAUGGUUAUUAAAUAUAAUCAAUUUAUUAUUUUUUAUUAUUUAAUUAUUUAAAUAAAAAGUCCCAGAAGGAAAGGAAUCCAGUUUUUUCCAGCUGAGCGUCUGGUUAAACCAGCCGUUCAUUUCUUUCAUCAGUAGCAUCUAUCAGUCUAGUUAGGCUGUUAUAUGUCGAUGAGUCCUUGUUUUACUAUAAUAGCCCUGAUUACUGAUCGAGAAUAGUCAGGUUGGCAUCGCGCUAACCGCGAGUCGCUAACAGAGCUGGGUUCGUCCUUCCUGUCUUCGCUGUCAUGUGUCCCAAAUCCACCUUCCAGCAGCUGCCAGGGAUCCGCGUCCAGCUCGCGUAGGUAAGGCAACGGACCCGUCCCACUAACUCUCCAGGCUGAUCUCAUUUUUGGGGGGUGGGGGGGACUUAAUAAGCACGUGCUUAUAAUCGGUUAAAACUUUGCACGCAUGACGUUGCACGCAUGCCUGUUACAGUAUGUACAGAUUAUAAGAUAGUAUCUGAAAUGGCAAUGUUUAUUUAGGUUAAAACACACACCCUAGUGGAAAAUGAAUUUUUCAGAUGGGUUCAAUAUAAUACGGCUUAAAUGACACGAUUGACAAUGACGAUAAUACAUAAUGUAAAAAUAUAGGCAUAGAUAGAUAGAUAGAUAGAUAGAUAGAUAGAUAGAUAGAUAGAUAGAUAGAGUUUGAGAGGUAGUUUAAUUUUAGGGGUGUACUUCAUAAGGGUUGACCCCAGCCACAUGGUGUGGUAUUCUAAAAGAAAUUUACAGACCAAGGCAGGUGCCGGUGGC